This 465-nucleotide ribosomal RNA is filed under the name uncultured Klebsiella sp. RNAcentral's name for it is "bacterial SSU rRNA". It matches the Rfam family "Bacterial small subunit ribosomal RNA", at positions 338 to 795 of the family's 1533-position model. Lineage: Bacteria; Pseudomonadati; Pseudomonadota; Gammaproteobacteria; Enterobacterales; Enterobacteriaceae. The record is from RNAcentral.
CCUACGGGUGGCUGCAGUGGGGAAUAUUGCACAAUGGGCGCAAGCCUGAUGCAGCCAUGCCGCGUGUGUGAAGAAGGCCUUCGGGUUGUAAAGCACUUUCAGCGGGGAGGAAGGCGUUAAGGUUAAUAACCUUGUCGAUUGACGUUACCCGCAGAAGAAGCACCGGCUAACUCCGUGCCAGCAGCCGCGGUAAUACGGAGGGUGCAAGCGUUAAUCGGAAUUACUGGGCGUAAAGCGCACGCAGGCGGUCUGUCAAGUCGGAUGUGAAAUCCCCGGGCUCAACCUGGGAACUGCAUUCGAAACUGGCAGGCUAGAGUCUUGUAGAGGGGGGUAGAAUUCCAGGUGUACCGGUGAAAUGCGUAGAGAUCUGGAGGAAUACCGGUGGCGAAGGCGGCCCCCUGGACAAAGACUGACGCUCAGGUGCGAAAGCGUGGGGAGCAAACAGGAUUAGAUACCCGUGUAGUC